RNAcentral lists this unclassified non-coding RNA (268 nucleotides) under uncultured fungus. Its description in RNAcentral is "sequence contains ITS1, 5.8S rRNA gene". The stretch from base 220 to 268 matches the Rfam family "5.8S ribosomal RNA", at positions 1 to 49 of the family's 154-position model. Lineage: Eukaryota; Fungi. The record is from RNAcentral.
UCUCCGUUGGUGAACCAGCGGAGGGAUCAUUGCUGGAAGCGUCUCACGGCGCACCCAGAUACCCUUUGUGAACCUAUACCUAUCUGUUGCCUCGGCGCAGGCUGGGAGCUUCUGUAAACUCCCCCCCGCGGACUCACCUCUGCGCGGAGCAGGCCCGCCGACGGCCCACAACUCAUUGUCUGACUCUAAGCAUCUCCGAGCCAUACACAAACGAAUCAAAACUUUCAACAACGGAUCUCUUGGUUCUGGCAUCGAUGAAGAACGCAGC